Molecule: non-coding RNA, 204 nt
Organism: Hordeum vulgare subsp. vulgare (domesticated barley)
Lineage: Eukaryota; Viridiplantae; Streptophyta; Magnoliopsida; Poales; Poaceae
Source: Rfam
CUACGGACUUGAUUGUAUUGAGCCUUGGUAUGGAAACCUGCUAAGUGGUAACUUCCAAAUUCAGAGAAACCCUGGAAUUUAGAAGGGGCAAUCCUGAGCCAAAUCCGUGUUUUGAGAAGGGAUUCUCGAACUAGAAUACAAAGGAAAAGGAUAGGUGCAGAGAUUCAAUGGAAGCGGAUCUAACGAAUCGAGUUACUUACGUUG